RNAcentral lists this ribosomal RNA (499 nucleotides) under uncultured bacterium. Its description in RNAcentral is "partial 16S ribosomal RNA". It matches the Rfam family "Bacterial small subunit ribosomal RNA", at positions 30 to 523 of the family's 1533-position model. The record is from RNAcentral.
AUUGAACGCUGGCGGCAUGCCUUACACAUGCAAGUCGAACGCGAAAGCGGAGCAAUCCGCAAGUAGAGUGGCGAACGGGUGAGUAAUACAUAGGAACAUUUCCAGUAGCGGGGGAUAACCUGUCGAAAGAUAGGCUAAUACCGCAUACGCCCUACGGGGGAAAGCGGAGGACCGCAAGGCUUCGCACUAUUGGAGUGGCCGAUGUCGGAUUAGCUAGUUGGCGGGGUAAACGCCAACCAAGGCUACGAUCCGUAGCUGGUCUGAGAGGACGGUCAGCCAAACGGGAACUGAGGCACGGUCCAGACUCCUACGUGAGGCAGCAGUGGGGAAUUUUGGACAAUGGGCGCAAGCCUGAUCCAGCCAUUCCGCGUGAGUGAAGAAGGCCGUCGUGUUGUAAAGCUCUUUCGGUGGGGACGAAACGGUUCGUGCUAAUACCAUAAACUAAUGACGGUACCCGAAGAAGAAGCACCGGCUAACUACGUGCCAGCCGCCGCGGUAA